Molecule: long non-coding RNA, 4334 nt
Organism: Equus caballus (horse)
Lineage: Eukaryota; Metazoa; Chordata; Mammalia; Perissodactyla; Equidae
Source: Ensembl
UAAACAUUAUGUGGGAGAUUUGAGGCUCAGGAGGAUAGGAAAAUCCAGAGCAGAGCCUGGGGGCCAAGAGCCUGAGGGACAGUGACUGUCGUAGCUGGGAAACUGCAAAGCGCUGAGGCCAAAGGGAGGACCCAGCCCUAGAGGACUGUGGGUAAGAGUCACUUCUAGGCCUCUCUGGGCCAUCUUCUCUGGAAGCCCCACCUAAGGAGGUCACUCUGCAGCGGGGGUAGAUGGGCUGACACUGGUGUUCUUGAACAAGGGCCCAAGCUGUCGGAGGAGGAGAAGGAGGUCAGUAGGACUGAACAGGACAGGGGCAGGGCUGGAAUGAGGUGAGCGGGGCGGCAUCAGUGAGUAGGCAGGGAGAGGGGAGCUGAGCAUGGGGGUGGGGGGCGUCAGUGGGCGGUGCAGAAAUGAGGUGAUUUGGGCUCUCACUGGGAGCUGCAAGUCUUCCUCUGUUUUGUCUAACUCCUCUGAGCCCAGAGGCUGCAUGUCCUCUGUGCUGCACAGGGUGGGUGGACAGGGCAGGGCCAGAGACUGCAGUGAGAGUGGGAGAGCAGUUACACCUCAAGUCACUGCCUGGGCUAGAGCUAGGGGUCAUGGGGAGAGUCUUGGUGCACAUAACUGUUGCCCAAUGUAUUCACAUCUGGUGCAGGAGCUCAGAACGUCUCCUCCCAGAAUGGGAAACUUUGUUUUAUUGUUCUAUUAGUGAUAAUGAUAACAACAAUGACAAUAAAAAUAGUAGUGAUAAUAACAACUGACGUUCGGUAGGUGCUUACUCCAUGCUCUGUGCUAAGCACUUUCCAUCCAGGAUCUCAUAUGUUCCACACACAACCCUUGGAGGGGAGGCCUGUUACUUACCCCCAACUGACACAGGUUGAGACUGAGUUUCAGAGAGGUUAAGUCACUUCCCCAAGGCCACACAGCUAUUUUAGAGCAAAAGCUCAGACUCUAGGGUUUGAAUGACUUAGAGUUGAGUCCUGUGCAUCUGCUGGCUGUGCGGCCUCAGAAAAUCACUGAGCCCCCAAGAACCAGCCUGUGCCUCUCUCAAAUGGAGAAACAGCAGUGUCUACCUGCAGUGGCUGAAGGUCAUACGUGUGAAGCAAGGUCCCUGUUAUGUGACAAUCAGUGAAGGCUGCUGUCAUUGCUUUGCUGUACUGUUGUUAUUAUUAUGCCUGCUUUCUCUGCCCACCCCUCUAUCCCCUGCCCCUUGGGAAUUAGUCCUGGGUUUGCCCUUGACGGUGUCCAUUCCAUUCUGGGAGAAGGGGAAGUUUCAGGAAUUGUUCCAGAAGGCACCACUGGAUCUGGCCUCACUGACUGACCCCUCCAGGUCCCCUGAGGCCAACAUGGUCACGAGUUGGUCCUGGCAGGUCACCUGGGAAGGGCUGUAAAAAUGGCCACAAAUUCCUCAGCUCCCUGCAACGACACCUUCAACAUGGUGUUGCAGCCCCUGAGACCAAGGUGGGGAGGCCACCUCCACCCCAUGACUCCGGCUUGGCCAUGACUUGCUUUGGUCAAAGGGAUGAGAGAAACCUGAUGCGAGCAAAGGCUGGAAAAAUGCUUGUGUUCUGGGGCUUGCCCUCUGGGAGCUCUGUGAGCACAUGAAUGAGCCGGGGCUGGUCUGCUGGAUGCUGAGGUCAGAGGAAGGACAACCAAGGCGACCUCUCCAUCAGUCAGGUGUCCUCCAGGAGCAGUCACCCAGCUCACCUGCAGGCAAUGGCAGACACGUAAGGAAGCCCCGUUCAAGCCAGAGGCGCUGCCCAGCUGACCUGCACACUACCCUCGGUGGGGAAGAGGGACCUCACAAGGAAAAGAAGAGUGAGGAGAGAGAAAUCUCGAAGCAGACGUGGAUGUGUGCUCUGACCAGAGCUCAGAGCACCAAGAGAAGCAUCCACCUGGGGUGCAGGAGGAGACCCCUUUCCCUCACCGCAGAGACAGUCCCUGUGCAAGCCGGGCGACACCAUGGGGCUGGUGGCUCAGCUCUCAGCAGAGCCACUCCAUGUCCAGCGUGAGGUCCACAGAGUCAGGAUGGUGGACGCAGACAGUGUCAACCCCAGUGGCUGCUCCACCCUUUCGGGCCUGGGGAGAGAAGGACAUGUGUAUGGGGACAAAACAGAGGGACAUCUCUGGUUGGACAUCCGUUCAUCAGCCCACUUGUAUGUGGAUGCCUGCUCAUCUGCUCUCCUGGUCCACGCAUGAGCUGCUCACAAGGGAAGGGACAUCUUCAAGCCACAAAGGACCAGAGUGAAUGUUUAGAGUCAGGCGACCAUCGGUUCAAGUGACAAACCUUAGUUCUGUCACUUGUUGAAUAAUCAAUAUAAACACCUGUGACUCAGUUCUGCCAUCUUUGCAGUGUGAGUAAUGCUGUAACCACCUAUUAGAAUGUGAUGGGAUUCAGAAAUGAUUGAUACAAAAUACUCAGCCUGGGGCCAGGUACAUACUAAGUGUUCAUUAAUUAAUUAAUUGCUUAAUUAAAUAAAUGUUUUUAGAGCACCCAAACUCCCUAGGAAGACUAAACAGCAGCUCUGAACAGAGAUUCACCAGCUCUCAGAAAGCUGAUCCAACCCAAUUUUUGGGCUGAGCUUCUGAGCAUAAGACACUGCAUAGCAGAGACCCCCACCCACUGCCCACCUGCCUCUUGCCUUACCAGCUCUCUAGGGCAGCAGGAAAAACAAGGCCGAAGGGAUAAUCCAGGGAUCCAGCAGGUGGCGCUGCCAGAGAGCAUGACGGGGAGAAACAGUCUCCUAGCACCUCAGCAGGAUGGACGUGGCCUUGUGCUGAGGUGCUUGUAGCUCUGGUCUCCUAGAUUCUUGAUAAAGGUACAACAUCAGUUUUGUUGCCUGGGAUGCUGCUGAUGGUAAAAAUGGCCCCUAGUUGAUGACCUGCAUCUUUUCUGGGAGGACCAUAAAUGGACACCAAUACCUGGCAGGAAGCUAUAGCUUUGGGCUUCCUUGGUAUGUGGUGACCCUGUUAACUGUGCAGGACUGUUACAAGAGCUCGGUCCCCCCUUUGGGACAUAGGACAUCUAACCCAGAGUGGCUUUGGCACCUAUCCAUUGAGCUUUCGUUUCCGUGCUCAUGGGCAUUCACGUGGGACGACACAAGAACAGGCCCUGGACUGCCAGAGGGUGCUGGCAUGCCAUCUCCUGAGCACCCUUCUCAGGGAGUUGAAGUCACGUCGGGCUAUUCAGGUCUGCAAGUCUGACCGUCUGAUUGGAUUUAGGAUGACCUAGAGAGGGCAGUGCCCAGGUCUGGCACCAGGGCUGGGAACAGCAUGAGGUGAGCAAGGACCGAGGUACAACACUUAAGGAGCACUCCCUCUCAGGGUCGUGGAAGUACAGGGUUGGCACCUGAGGGUGAGCACCUCCUCAAAUACAUUCUGUAGCCUAGGAACCUCGCUUGCCCACCCUAGUCUGGCCAGCCUGCACCUUAUUACACCUCCUAGGACCAAAGAGGAGGCCUCCCCUUGGUGCAGUCAGUCUGCAGACAGUGCACAGUGAGCCGAUGCUGCUGGUGGUGAGCAAGGGCUUGAGCUGAGGAGGAGGGAGUGGGUGGAUGAAAAUAGAUGUAAACAUCAUAAGUAUGAGCUUAUUUGAACUUCCCACACCUUUUGACAGGGGCCACAUCAAAAACGUUCUGCUAUGCGUGGAAGGCGGCCCUGCUGUGGGAUGUGGCGUUUCCUAUGCUCAUAAGAAAGGAAUGAAUAAGGAUUUCCUGCAAGAACUGGAGUAGGCUGUGGGCAGGUUUGGGAGGGAGGCAGGUAAUGCAGCUAUUAUUACAGUGAAUGUGGACACAGACAAUAGAUUGUGAUAAUGCUUUGGCAUUAUUGAUUUUAUCUGCCUGAUCCUAGCAGUCAUUGCUCAGAAGGGCGUAAAAAGCUCUAAGCUCACAGAGAAAAUAUUCCUCAGCCCUGAAUAUGUUAACAUGCUCAUUUGUUGAUGUCUAAAGUACUUAGCAAACAUUAGAUUAUCUGGUGGUUUUAAGAUAUGUCUGCAAAUAUUUGGCACUCCUCCCUUCAAGAGAUGGAACCUGUUCCCCUUGCCUUGGGAGUGGGCUGGACUUAGUGGCUGGCAGUGGUGGGUGUGGCUUUGGAGGCUGGGUCACAAAAAGGCCCUGCAGUUUCUGUGUUGGUUGCUUCUCUCCUGGAUCACUUGUUCUGGGAGAAGUAAGCUGUCACAUCCUUAAGAGGGGGGUCCACGUGGCAAGGAAGUGAGGCCUCCAGCUGACAGCCACAUGAGGGAGCCUUCUUGGAAGCAGUUCCUCCACCUGCACUCAUGUCCUCAGAUGACGACAAGCCCAGCUGACAUCACAGCUGUGACCUUAGGAGAGACCCUGACC